CAACCCUCAAGCUUGGCUUGGUUUUGGAGUAUUUGGGCCCUCUGGUCCCGAAGCUCUGAAAGAUAUUGGCGGCGUACCGCAGUACUCUCUAUGUAGUAAAUUAUUUUCAUAGGGCUGCUAGUGGUGCCUGUCGGCCACUAAUCGAGUCAGCGACUCAAAAUAAAAU
RNAcentral lists this unclassified non-coding RNA (166 nucleotides) under uncultured Ascomycota. RNAcentral's name for it is "sequence contains ITS2". Lineage: Eukaryota; Fungi; Ascomycota. The record is from RNAcentral.